UCCAAGAGGCACGACUUGGGCAACUUUCUCCGGCUCUCACUGGAUAAAUUAAGAAAUAUGUAUUGGUAUACUGCUCAGACCCAUCUUUUUCUACUGUUCGGCUGGAAAUGGAACUACACACAAUUCCUGUUUGGGUAGCGGCUCUUCCUGCUACACUGUCGGCAGAGGGCGCUGCAAGGUCAAACACUUCCUUCCUGUUUUGGUGUUUCCCACAAUUCCUUUCGGUCAGUAGAUCGUUCCCUAGAAGCCGCCACCUUGCCGUAGGGCUGUUGCUUAUUGCAGCAUUAGUUGAAUCCGAUUAGCAGUCAGCUCAGGGUUCACAGUUUGCCGAGCUAUGAAACUAUGCUGUGCCGGUCCUCGGAGACGCCAACUUAUCAACUCCUUUGUGCUGCUUCAAAGCUUCUGUGUCUUGACCGACUCAUGUCUGCUUGCUUCUCCAAAUCAGAAGAAGAGAGUCUCCUGCUGCUGCAUUUGGAUCAAGAUGUAUAACUUUCAGCUCUUGCAAUACCAUGUCUGCCUAGGAGCCAGCAUCCUUCUCACCGUGAUGAUAAUGGACUGACUAAACCUCUAAAACUAACUUGGCAGCUUCAGUCACAUGGCUCUGGAUUUGGAAUCAAGAAAAGAACGGAGUUACUGGGAGAGCUGAUGCUUGUUUGCUUGAGCUAAGAUGUUAAGAAGAUUAAUAUCAUAUUAAGAAGAGACUGUAGAGGGUGGUUCUGAUGCUAAGGUCCUGCUUCCCAGUUGGUUCUUGAUCGAUUAAUAAAGAUGCCAGGGGCCAAUUACUGGGCUCUUCUGAGCCUUCCUCAGCUAUCUUGCACCAUUCUUUUCACUCCCAUCUCAGCACCCUCAGCUUAAUUGUGUUUAUAAUGUCCCACGUAGGGAAGCAGCCUGUGGUCACUCCACUCGAGAUCUCACAUGGCUGGUCCCCUCUUCUCCCUCUGAAACAUGGUGAAAACUCUCUUCCUCUUCCUGUGUCUCUUCAUCUUUGAGGAACUGGAAGUCCCACCUCUUUCCUUCCACCCAGCAUUGGCCCCUGGCGUCUUUAUUGAUUGAUCAAGAACCAGAACCACCCCCUACAUCAAGAACUAGAAUCACCUCCUACAUCUCACCUUUUCUGUCAAACAAAAACAAAAACAAAAAAACCAAACUCUUGUUCCCAGGCAUAAAUUGAACAAAACCAUAACAAUCAUGUAAGUUACAAAGUAUGCUAUACAAUUAACAUCCAGCAUGAUGAUGAUGGACUGAACCUCUAAAAUUAUAAGUCAGUUGGCCUCGAUUUAAUGUUCCUCUUUUAUAAGAGUUACCUUGGUCAUUGUGCCAAACUAAGAUAAUUGAUUAUCUGAGUUCUAUCUGCAUAACCUACAUGGUACACACACACACACACACACACACACACACACACACACACAGAGAGAGAGAGAGAGAGAGAGAGAGAGAGAGAGAGAGAGAGAGUGAAAAGCUCUCAGGGAGAACUUUCCCUCGGGAUGGAGACCCUCCAACUUCAAUGACCAGACCGAGACACCACAGGAUGCAAUCAGCAAGAGGAUUUGAUUUAUUGUCGGGAUACACAGGUACCUGUGGGCGCUUCAGUCACUCGGGGGACUGGCGUGCCCCACGGAACCAAGGAUGGGCUUUUUAUAGGAUUUUGGGGAGCAGAAGCAAGCAUACAGAAGCAGAUGCAUGGUUACAGGGAUAUAAUUGGUGGAUUCUAAUAUGGCAAGGGUUCAGCCCGGGGGCAAGUUUCCUAGCUACCUUCCUGAAACAUAACAACUGACUCGGCCCCCCACCAGGGUGUGGGACCUCUCCCGGGGCUUUUCUUAUUGUCAGGUGCUCAACAGCAGUCCUCCUGUUGCCAGGCCUUCAACCAAACAUCUCCUGCUUGGCAGCCGCUGUGUACUCAGUGUUCUAACCUUUCCCUGAACCAGUCAUCUUAAGUACAGCCUUGCAAAAUGGCGUUACUGCUGCUAAGCUGGGGUCUUUCAAGAGAGAGAGAGAGAGAGAGAGAGAGAGAGGCUACAAAUGUGACAAUUUUUUAGAUCUGAGAUUCAGUCUAAAACUGCUAUAUUUCUUUCAGCUUCUACCAGUGUUGAGAGUUUACAAAAAAGAGAGACAUGGGAUGUGGUCACCUCCCAAAACCAAAAAUGUUACUUAAACAUUCAAGACACCUUCUAGGAAACAUUUUAUUCCCCUGGACAAGUUGUAUUAUUAUGGAGGCUUUAUUCAUUACAUCAUAUUUUGAAAGUAUUUCUUCUCUUUUUUCUUGAGAUUAUAAUAUAGUUAUGUCAUUUCUCCCUUGACUUUUUUCCCUUCAAACCCUCCUUGCUCUUAUUCAAAUUCACAUUUUACUGUGUUCCAAAUGCAACUUGAAAACUCUUUUAAUUGGCUUUGCUAUUAUUUUUAGCAAUCUUUCCCCUUGAGUUUUUGAAGUACUAAUGAAUCCCCCAAAGCUGGGCCACUUUCCUUAACACUGAGUUAGUUAACUUGCUUUUGCCUCCACUGAAAGAUGAUCUAGUAAUACCAGAGACUUUCCAGGACAUUUUUUUUUUGUAAGAUUCUGACUUGGGACACACCUAGUCCCUUCUCAUUUUCUUCCUUGUGUAGAGUGUGGAAUAAUACUAUUCAGGUAGGUAGGCCAUUACUAUUCAGGGUCUGUUUUGAAAACCAGCUAUGUAUUUUAUGAAGUGAAAUUUGUGUGGCACAACGCACAAUUUUAACCAUUUUUGGCCUCUUCUUGCAUAGCUAAUACACAACCAUAAGAUAAUAAUUCUGAUAAUGACAGGCCCUUGGGCAACAGUUUUCCCAGGCAAAACUCAUGCAAAGCCUCAUGAUUAGACAAUCUGAAUGGAUCUAAAAAUAGCGUGAGUUGAUUGGGAACCCUGGACAGCAUCACUGCAGGGGAGUAAUUCUUAUCCCAUUAGGAAGAAAUUUUAAAUGUUUUCCAGGUGGCAUAGGUUGUCACCAUUUCCCAAUAAUUACAACUCCUCUGAUUUGUAGGCCUGCCAGGCUCUUCCCAUAUUGGAGAAACACAGAAAAAUAAUUCAUGAAAAAAUGAACCAUCUUUACCAAAAGCAGAAUCUUCCCUUGAAGAAUGGUAUGGUAAUCAUAACGUACCACUAUGGUGAUGACUGUUCUUAAUUCCAAAAUAUUCCUUCUUGUGGAAAAUAACCAUGAUGCUUAUUUUCCUUAUCACAAGCAUUGAUUACUUCUGAGUCUGUGCUAGAAAGAAAAUGUACCAGUGUCUUGGAAAGGAGAUAAUCUUCUGUUUCACGUCAUGAACUGAAACUAAAAUAAAGGGAAAUUUUAUGGUAAUAGGUUUCCAUAUGGCUUUUCAAAAGAUCUUUAAAUGUCCAUUAUUCCACCUCGUGUCCCUUCUCUACCCUGUGUUCCUCUCACCUCCCAUUAAAGCCUCCUGCUCUAUUUUCCCUCUAUUUCUUUCUAACAGUAGACUAUUUCCCUUCUUUGGAAGGACUGUCCCCGUUCCUUACUAGAUACGUGUUGUUAUUUGGAUUGAAACAUGCAUUUCUAAAACUUAAAGUGAACAUCCAUAUACAAAAGAAAACAUACUAGAUUUGUCUUUCUGGGUCUAGGUUACCUCACUCAGGGUGGUUAUGUCUAGCUCCAUCCAUUUACCUGAAAAUUUCAUAAUUUUCUUUUACUUGGCAGCUGAUACUUCAUUGUGUAAAUGUACCACAUUUUCAUUAUCUAUUCAUCAGCUGAUGGACAUCUAGGCUGUUUCCAAUUUUGAGCUAUUAUGAACAGGGCAGUAAUGAACAUAGAUAAACAGGUAUCUCCAUACUAAGAUGUAGAGUCUUUUGGGUACAUGUCUAAGAGUGCUGUAGCUGGAUCUUGUGGUAGAUAAAUUUUCAGCCUUUUGAGGAACUGCCAUAAUGACUCUUACAGAGGGUGUACUAGUUUGCACUCCCUCCAGUAAUGAAUUAAAAUAUGAAAUUUCACUUAGGAUUUGUGACAUCUAUGCUGUCAUUCUGACACUGGUAGGCACUGGGACUGCAUUUCCAGGCAGAAUUCAUCCACAGCCUCAUAAUCACCCAGUUUGAAUGAUUCUAAAGAAGUACAAGUUGAUUGGGACAAUCAUAUCAAACAAUGAUAGCACCUGAUGCAUGUUGAUACUCUCCUCCUUUCCCUGCUAUGGCUGUUACUGCAAUACAGGGGAUAUUCUAUCUCAAGAAUAUAUCUUACAGACAGCUAUAAGGUGUUAAGCUCAUCUUGGUCAUGACUUUUUCAUUUCCCAAGUAUUAGCCAAUAAUAAAUAUAGUUCAAAGAACACAAAAGACUAUUCUUAAAGUUUUGCUCCUACAUAGAGAUAAGGAAGAUUUAGCCAUGAUAGAACAAUUAAUGUCUGAAGGAACCCAAACUAGUGGCUGAUACUAAUGCCUCAGUAUUUGAAGAAUAAUUUCCAGGAACUAACUUGUCUCCUGAGCAUCCCAGAAGGCAACCAUGCUGCUGGACUUUGGUUCAGAGAGAAAAUGACAACCAUUGUCAGUGUCUUGCAUCUCUCUGUGUCUCCUGCUUUUACUUGCUUCUCUUCAUUUGUCAUUUUCAGGAAAAAACAACAGUGGUUAACUGUCCCUUAAUUGUGGGACUAAGGUAAGCUUUCAUGGAGGAAGAUGUAAAAUGACUUAUUUUUAAUAUAAGUGUAAGCAGUGAAUUAAUCCUGUGUCUGUGUAUCUUUACUAGUCCUCAAUAGCCACACAGAGAAACCAAGAUUUAUUUCAAACUGCACCUCAAAAGCUGGUCAGAUAAAGGAUUAUCCUAAUCCUCAUACUAAUCUGGCUACCUCUCAGCUGCAUCCCAUUAUACUUGCAUAUUAUUAUUGAUUUUGUUAUACUUGCACAUUAUUAUUGAUUUUGUUAUAUUUGCAUAUUAUUAUUGAUUUAGAUCUUUAGGCUUCAGAUGUAUUUCUCAUGGCGUCUUUAGACAUUGAACCAUCUCCUCAUGGCUCAUCUCUUCAUCCUUUUGGCAGACCUGACAUUUCCUCUCUUCCUCUUUCCCUGUCUCCCUCCGUAGUGGCUAUUCCUGGUUAUCAACUUGACUAUAUCUGGGAUGUAUUACAAUCCAGAAUUAGAAGGCUCACCUUUGAUCCUGAUCUUGAGGCUGGGAGAUAAAAAUUUCUGACCUGGAUCUCGGUAUGGAGAUCUUGAGGCAAAGUGGUUAUGAAUGCCAGUAGCCUAAGGCAAGGAGAUCUCUGAGUUCAAGGUCAUCUGGGACAAAACAAAUCCCAGAUCCAGGUGUGGGGGUAUACACCUUUAAUCUGGGACACACCUUCUGCUGGAGACCGACAUAAGGUCAUUGGAAGAAAGAAGAGACUCUGCCUGCCUGCCUUGUGGAACUGAGCCACCACUAGAUCCUUGGACUUCCAUUCACAGCUGCUGCUGAUUAUUGUUGGGGAGUUGAACUACAGACUGUAAGUCAUAGCCAAUCUCUUACUAUAUAGAGAAUACCCAUAAGUUCUGUGACUCUAGAGAACCCAGCCCAAGACACCCUCUAUCCCUGUCUCCCUCUCUCCCUCUCUCCUCUGGCAGACAGAAACUUCUGCCCUAUUCUUUCUCUGGCUCAACUACUGGGUAAUCAGAAUUUAUCCACAGGGCAGAGAAUAAAUAGUAAGAAUUGUUUACACAAACUAGAGACAGGAGAUUCUUGAUAUAAGCAUUACAAUGCUAUGUCUAGUUCGUAACAGGAUAUGAUGGUAGAUAAAUCAGCAUUUAAAGAACAGAAGAUGUGUUGUUUACAUAUAUCUGACCCAGGGAGUGGCACUACUAGGAAGUACAGCCUCGUUAGAACAGGUGUGUCACUGUGGGUGUGGGCUUUAAUACCCUCAAUACCCUCAUCCUAGCUGCCUGGAAGUUAGUCUUCUGUUUGCCUUUGGAACAAGUCGUAGACCUCUCAGCAACUCCUACACUAUGCCUGCCUGGACACAUAUAUGCUCUUGCUUUGAUAAUAAUUGACUGAACCUCUGAACCUGUAAGCCAGCCCCAAUUAAAUGUCCUUAUAAGAGUUGCCUUGGUCAUGGUGUUUGUUCACAGUAGUAAAACCCUAACUAAGACAGAAGGAUAACCUUUACACAGUGCCAAAAACAUUAUGCCUAUAGGAGGAGGUAGGUUAUACACAAUGAAAGAUACAUGAGUCUAGAAGUUACAUAUGUGAGACAUAUUUUGUCUAUAAUUAUUGUUCUUACAUAUACAGUUAUACUGUUGAUUUAGAUCUUCCAAGUAUUUCAGAGAAAAAUUGGAAUAAUUUCCUACAAAAAUUUGAUUAUUCAAGAAUGCAUAAGAAUGGGCAAUCCAAUAAUCACAGGAGGUAGAGGUAGGGAGGGAUCUGGGAGGAAGACAGGAGGGGGAGGGGAAAAACAGCAGGCCAGGAACAAGUAUUGGAAGAGGCAGGAGAGAAGUACAGAGGGUCAGAAAAUUGAAUAGAUACAUGGAGCAGUGGGGGACUGGGAAAUGGGAUAGCCACUAGAAAGUCCCAGACUCUAGAGAAGCAAGAAGCUCCCAGGAGCCAAUGGUGAUGAUACAACCUGCAAAGACCAUCUCCAGUAGAUAGGCACAACCCCAGUUGAGGCAUGGGACCACCCAUGCAUCUCAAAUCGUAGGGACUUUUGCCAGCCUUACACCCACCUACCUUGGGGUAAGGCUAGGCCAGAUUCCAUUCUCCAUCCACAAUUCUUGGGACCCUCUGGUCCCAGAUAGAGUUCGAAGGCAUGUCAUAUGCUAGCUAACCAAUAGAUUCAAAGUCAAUAUGCUUAGCCAAUAAGUUUGAACUGUAACCUUGCUGAUGUAGCCUGUACUCCUAAAAAAACAUAUAAAAACUGCUUGUUAUAGCCAUUCAGGGUCACCUUCUAGUCACUUGCCGAGAAGGGCUGAUUGAAGGUUGACCCCAAUGCACUGGAAAAUAAAC
Molecule: long non-coding RNA, 6912 nt
Organism: Rattus norvegicus (Norway rat)
Lineage: Eukaryota; Metazoa; Chordata; Mammalia; Rodentia; Muridae
Source: RefSeq, a predicted model, not a curated record